GUAGUAGCCUCGAUCCCAGGCCGAGUUUUCGCUUUUAUAACGGUUAGGCGAACAACUGGGCCUGGUACUAGUUGUCUGCGCAUGCGUCAGUCGUUCGUCAGAUUCUGACGAAUGGAUAUUCUCGUUCACUUUCGUGACAUUUAUAUUCGUGUACUAUCGUGUACUAGAAGUCAGUUCCCGUUUUAUCAUUAUUGGAAUCGAUUGGAAUGGCUCUUAGCUGAAGCUUCUCUCUUCUCUGAAGCUUAUUCUGAAGACUGAACAACAAGUGAAGAGGUAUAAAGCUUUGUCAAGCUUGUUAAGGUCAGAUAUUUUUGUGUGGGCCCUAUGGCCGGCUAUGCUAUCAAGUCUUGUUCAUGUUUGGCAAGAAUGUAGGUAGACUAUAGUUUCAUCAUUAAUAUGGUGGAUCAAGUGAAGAGUGUGAGCUAGAGAACUUGGUGCUGCCAUCAUCAGCUCGUCGACAAUGACACUAUAACCGAGAAAUUUAAUAUGUAUAGAUCUACACGUAUUUAAAAUGUCUACUUCUCUGUACAGGAGCAAUGGCUAAUAUCCAGCUAUCCCAACAGUGCUCCUCUUGGCUAUACUAACGGACGAGACUGGACAGUUUGAGACACAGGACUGGAGUAUGACCUGCUCAUUCGAGCGUUGCUGGGUAGCUCAGAGACAUCAAGAGAAUCUACGUUUUCUCAAGCAAUGAGUUACGAGUUGGGGC
Halichondria panicea is the source of this 709-nucleotide long non-coding RNA. RefSeq lists it as uncharacterized. The record is from RefSeq and is a predicted model, not a curated record. NCBI's taxonomy places the organism in Eukaryota, Metazoa, Porifera, Demospongiae, Suberitida, Halichondriidae. The transcript is spliced from 2 exons.